Molecule: long non-coding RNA, 637 nt
Organism: Brassica napus (rape)
Lineage: Eukaryota; Viridiplantae; Streptophyta; Magnoliopsida; Brassicales; Brassicaceae
Exons: 2
Source: RefSeq, a predicted model, not a curated record
UGUCGUUUAGAAAAAAAGGGUCUGGAUGCAGAGCUAUAAACUUUUUGUGAAGAUAAUAAAAAGAAAAGGAAAAUAUAAUAUAAUGCACUAUAUCUAAUAUUUCUAUCUUUCUCUUGUCCACAUAUCUUUCUUUUCUUAUCUUCUCCUAUUUUCUUCAAUCUCUGUCAAAGAGUUGAUCUUCUGUUGCGCAACGGUGUAAAGCGAUAUCUUCACGAGCUUAUUCUGGAUUCGGUGGCCUCCUCGCAAUCGUUUUAUCUAGUGAUCUCUGCCGCCGAUUUGAGGAGGUGGUGCUUCUGCUGGUGCUGAUUCUUCCAAUUUGGUCCCGAUUUGUUUUCUCUUUGAACUGACACCACCGCCGCUUCAACACCUUGCACCGCCACCAUCACCACCGAAACUCCCUCCACCGCCAUUGCUGCUACUCCACCUCCACCAUCACGGCGACCUUCGCACUCUACACCACACCGCCGCAUCUCAACGACUAUUAGAUUAUAAGUUUUAUUUUUGUUUUCGUUUAAUUUUAUAGAACUUUUUUAAUUUCUUUAUUUGUAAUAUAUAUUUGAUAAUUUAAAUUUUAUUGUGAGUUUUAUUUGUAUUUCAUUAUUUGUUUUUUUUAUUUAAAAAUAUUAGUUUCUCGGAA